This 120-nucleotide ribosomal RNA is filed under the name Enterococcus faecium. The record is from RNAcentral. Lineage: Bacteria; Bacillati; Bacillota; Bacilli; Lactobacillales; Enterococcaceae.
UGUGGUGGCGAUAGCGAGAAGGAUACACCUGUAACCAUGCCGAACACAGAAGUUAAGCUUCUUAGCGCCGAUUGUAGUGAGGGGUUGCCCCUUGUGAGAGGGAGUAGGACGUCGCCACGC